Long non-coding RNA from Malaclemys terrapin pileata, 774 nucleotides. RefSeq lists it as uncharacterized. Lineage: Eukaryota; Metazoa; Chordata; Testudines; Emydidae. The record is from RefSeq and is a predicted model, not a curated record. The transcript is spliced from 2 exons.
UCUCUCCUUUUGUUUGUCUCACUAAUUUGUUGCGUCUUGUCUCAAAUUAGAUUGUACCAUGAGUUCUCUGGUGCCAGGGCUGUUUCUUCCUAUGCAUUGGCACAGCACCUCGCACAACUGGCCCUGAUCCUGACGGAAGGCUUCGGCCACCACUGCGGUACUAACAACAUGAGUCUGAACUUGAUAAUGUUGCAAAAUUGGGAUCUGAGAUAUACAAACACAUUUCACUGCAGACAACAUAAGACUGGAAAGGAAGCUAAUCCAUUGCUCCACACUUUGCACAGAAACCGACAUAACAGUGAGCUUGAGCCAGUCUCCAGCUCCACAAACACAGGCUGGCCUGAAGCAGACGCAAGAGAGAGACAGAGACAAGGAGAGAAGUGUCCAGGGUACCCACCGUCUGCCAAGCACAUCUGAUCCUUCAAGGUAGCGCUUUAAACUCUGGACAAAGGCGACAGCCCCAUCUAUUCAGCACUGCCCAGCCUAUCCAGGAAAAUAAAUAAUUUUGCACCCUGCUUCCAUCCCGCAAAUUCAGCCAAUUAAAAGAAAGAAAUGCUUUGCUUUUAUCUGCCUCCCAUCUUUGCUCAAGCUGCUGGCAUGAGGAGAAACUCUUAUGUAAAGGGGGUGGGGGGAGAGAGGGGUGUCAAGUAUCCACGUGCGAGUCAUACCAGCUCAGCGGGUUUUCCAGGGCACUAGCCAAGCUACAAACGUGUGGCAAGGUUUUUAAUUAUGUGACCUUCCUGCUUUAAAUAAAAAUCAAAAACACCCCUCUCA